Stegostoma tigrinum is the source of this 1704-nucleotide long non-coding RNA. RefSeq lists it as uncharacterized. The record is from RefSeq and is a predicted model, not a curated record. The transcript has 2 exons. NCBI's taxonomy places the organism in Eukaryota, Metazoa, Chordata, Chondrichthyes, Orectolobiformes, Stegostomatidae.
UACCACAGAAAUUGAUGACACAAGAGAAGAUAUGUGAUGAUGAAGAGGAUGGCAAAGGCCAAGCUACCGAGACUCACAUCUCUAAAAUUCAAUCAUCACUUAGAAUAGCAACAAAUGUCAGGCCAAUUUUUCUAAUAAAUGUAUCAGAGAAUGGUUCUAUGAUCCUCAAGAAACCAACCAUUAUAAAAAUUCACAGCACUGUUUUUAUGCCUUUAAUGUGCUGAGAGUACUAAUGCUGACAGGUGGUACUCACGCCAGCAGGUUCAUGGAGGUUAAUUUACUUCACUAAAUUGUUCCCAAAGUGUUUUUCUCCACUCUUCUCAAAAGAUCACUGAAGUCUAUGAAAGACUUGGUAUAGCAUUUUAAUGGUAGUCAUGGCCCAUUUGAUUUGAAGGAAACUUUACAGUUUCUCUUGGCAUCAAUGGCUCCUUUGAGAACUAGCAGCAGAUUUUUUCUUUAAAUAUGGGUUCAGGGAAUUUUAGCUGGUGACUAAUGUGCCACCCCCAAAGCAAAAUAAUUCACCCGACUAACAAUCAGCCCAUUAAUAGCUGACAGGCAAGUAAGUCCAAAUAUGUUACUCUGUCACAUGCUUCUACAUUGGCAAUCCCCCCACUUUCCCCCACCGCCUCCCCAGCCCCCCAACCCAGGUCAUCAUAAACUGCCAACCAAUUAGAAGCCGGCAGAUUCUGUGUCCUAAAUUCCACCAGUCAAGGCCUGGUUCUGGUCCAUCUGGUCGGUGGAAUGGUGGAAAAGAAAUGAAUACUUUUUUUUCCUGAAGAUUGGCACAAGAGGCCACUAGACUCAAUCAGCCUGUACCCAGAUUAGCAGUUGGGUCAGUGUUGUGGCCUAGAUUAAAAAGAGCAUCCAACAGUGCAGGAAAGUGGUCUACGAUAUCCUACACUCUGCAAGAGUUAGUAUCACCAUCUUCUCUCUACUACCUUGCACUCACAGGCCUGCACUCGUUGCACAGAAGUUAAUGGACUACAACAAUAGGUAUUGCAUACAUCAUGUCCACUCUACAGCUCCCACCACUGCAUCCUCCAAAGAUGCUGCCUGUCGUGAUGAAAUUUUCCAGCAAUUUCCGUUUUUCUUUCUGUACAAGAGCACUUUUGCCUGCUAGACAGGGCCCUAUACAUCUUCACAGAGAAUAAACCUUGUACGUUUUAAUAAAUAUUUAUAAACAUUGUUGCCAUUUACAGCAACUACAAAGAAUGUGCUCUGAAGAUUGCUGGAAAAUUAAGGUAACAAUUAUGCUGCCUGGAAACUGGCAUGAUUGCCAAACACAACCUGCAGACUAAAUGAGUGGAAGCCUCUCAUUGACUUCUUACGAGGAACCAUUUGGGUGCUAGCCAUCUUACAUUUGGAGUGCUUUGUAUUCUGGAAAAAUCAGUUUCCGUUGCAUUUUACUUUAAAAUAUGUACUGAUUUCUCCAGGGAUUGCAUCAUGUUGAGAGGAAUUAAAUGCUUGCUGGCUAAUAUUCAUUAUACAAAGGCUAAAAAGAUUGUGUUAUAUACCCAGAUCAGAAAAAAGGCCAAUUAGGCUCAUAAGUGCUGUACCAUACUUUUUACUGAAAUUAGCGUCAUAUUUCCCUCUCCAUCCUUCUCCUCCAAAUGACCACAUUCUCAGUCUUGCACCAUGUAUACCCUAGAGUCAUAAUUUAUAACUGACAACUCAAUAAAUUAUUAGAACACAGUAUGCAUUUUU